RNAcentral lists this non-coding RNA (21 nucleotides) under Caenorhabditis elegans. Lineage: Eukaryota; Metazoa; Nematoda; Chromadorea; Rhabditida; Rhabditidae. The record is from RNAcentral.
UCUUGCCGGUAUUGAUGUUGA